CCUACGGGAGGCAGCAGUGGGGAAUAUUGGGCAAUGGAGGCAACUCUGACCCAGCAAUGCCGCGUGAGUGAUGAAGGUAAUUUUAUUGUAAAGCUCUUUUCUUUGGAACGAAUAAAUGACGGUACCAAAGGAAUAAGCCCCGGCUAACUACGUGCCAGCAGCCGCGGUAAUACGUAGGGGGCAAGCGUUGUUCGGAAUGACUGGGCGUAAAGGGUGCGUAGGCGGGCUGUUAAGUCAGCGGGAAAAGCCCGGGGCUCAACCCCGGCGAGCCGUUGAAACUGGCUGUCUUGAGAUGUCGAGAGGUAUGCGGAAUGCGCAGUGUAGCGGUGAAAUGCUUAGAUAUUGCGCAGAACUCCGAUUGCGAAGGCAGCAUACCGGCGGCGAUCUGACGCUGAGGCACGAAAGCGUGGGUAUCGAACAGGAUUAGAUACCCGGGUAGUC
Molecule: ribosomal RNA, 441 nt
Filed under: uncultured bacterium
Lineage: Bacteria
Description: partial 16S ribosomal RNA
Rfam family: Bacterial small subunit ribosomal RNA
Source: RNAcentral